AGCGACUGUUUACUUUCCUUUUCUAAUCAAGCACGCUCGUUCUACAUUAUGACACCGACUCGUUCCAGCUAUUAAUUAACUUGUGCGAGUGAAAAAUGGCUAACUAUUCUGCGGUAGCAGGUUCGAUGCGAAAGGCUUUUCUAACAGGAAAAACAAAAUCUUUAGAAUGGAGACGAUCACAGCUACUGGCAUUGUUAAAGAUGUUGGACGAAAACAGAGACCGCUUGACAGAUGCAUUAAUGAAGGACCUGAAUAAGUGUAGGUUCGAAUCAUGCCUGAUGGAAGUGGACUUUGUAAGGAAUGACUUGAUCAAUGCACUCAAUAACCUGUCAGACUGGGCCAAACCAGAAAAGGUAAAGAAAGGUUUGAUCAAUAUUAUGGACAAAGUAUACAUCCGAAAAGAACCAUUUGGUGUGGCACUGAUAAUGGGGGCGUGGAAUUACCCUGUACAACUGACAGUUGCCCCAAUGAUCGGAGCACUAGCUGCAGGUAACUGUGUAUUAAUGAAGCCAUCUGAGGUGUCUGAAAAUGUGGCUAGUUUAUUGGACGAGCUGUUCCCUAAGUACUUUGAUACAGAUUGUAUUAAAUGUGUUUGUGGCGGUAUACCCGAGACAACAGCUCUCCUGAAGGAGAAAUGGGACUAUAUUUUCUAUACAGGGAACUCUUUUGUCGGCAAGAUUGUCAUGAAGGCGGCUGCAGAGCAUCUUACACCAGUCACACUUGAACUGGGAGGAAAAAGCCCAGUGUAUGUGGAUCAAGGUUGUGAUCUAGGCAUAGUGGCCAACAGAAUUUUAUGGGGCAAGGUCACAAAUGCGGGACAAACCUGUGUUGCCCCGGACUAUAUUAUGUGCACUAAGGAAACUCAGGAUGUACUUGUAGAGAAAAUGAAGGCUACUCUGGGAGAGUUUUAUCCCGAGGGGCCCGCCAAGUCACCUUACUAUUGUCGUCUUAUCACUGACAGACAUUACCAGAGAGUAAAGAAGAUGAUAAAUGGGGGAGGUAAAUUGGCUCUAGGAGGUGAGUCUGAUGAUUCACAGAGAUUCAUAGCCCCCACAGUUCUCUCUGAUGUCACAUUUAGUGACCCCAUCAUGCAAGAAGAGGUGUUUGGUCCAGUUUUACCAAUUGUGCCUGUGAAAAAUGAGGAUGAAGCCAUAGCUCACAUCAAUGAAGGCGGUACGGGCACACCUUUAGCGUUAUACGUGUUUUCGAACAACCAGCAACUGAUCCAAAAAAUACUGGAUUCUGUAAACUCGGGUGGCUUCUGUGCUAAUGAUAUUUUAAUGCAAGGAAGCUUGCCAACGUUACCAUUUGGUGGUGUCGGAAACAGCGGUAUGGGAUGUUACCAUGGGAAGUUUUCAUUUGAUACAUUCUCACAUAAACGAGCAUGCAUGGAGAGGGGAUUAAAAAUGGAAAGCGUGAACAGUAUGAGAUACCCACCGUGCACAAGUCAAAAGGAAAAAACUGCCGCAUGGUUGUUGAAAAAGAAGUUGAAAAGCAAUGGACCCAUGUCUUACGUUCCAUACUUCAUUUUUGGAACACUGUUUGCAGUUUUUUUGAAGCUAUACAUGAAAUAUUAUAGAUGAGUAAACAUAGUAAUCUUUAAAAGACAGCAGCUUUGGGGUUUAUGUUUCAAGAUGGCAAUUUCUUAAGAUUUUCUUUGCUCCUGAGUCAUCCAUCUACAAUAUUUUUUCAAAAUAAAGGCUUGAAUAAUUGGAGGAAACGCCAAAAA
Ruditapes philippinarum (Manila clam) is the source of this 1729-nucleotide RNA transcript. It is a transcript of the gene named aldehyde dehydrogenase, dimeric NADP-preferring-like, with no coding region annotated. NCBI's taxonomy places the organism in Eukaryota, Metazoa, Mollusca, Bivalvia, Venerida, Veneridae. The record is from RefSeq and is a predicted model, not a curated record. The transcript is spliced from 16 exons.